RNAcentral lists this ribosomal RNA (577 nucleotides) under Mesocriconema xenoplax. RNAcentral describes it as "eukaryotic LSU rRNA". It matches the Rfam family "Eukaryotic large subunit ribosomal RNA", at positions 560 to 924 of the family's 3401-position model. The record is from RNAcentral. Lineage: Eukaryota; Metazoa; Nematoda; Chromadorea; Rhabditida; Criconematidae.
CGGCGGUUUGUCUUCUCUGGAUUGAGGUGCAUUUGCGGGCGUUUGCGCUGAGACUUGCGAGGCAGCUGCGGGACCGGCGUCUAGAGGCUUCCCAUUGGGUUGAACCUGGGCGCCGUUACAGCUGUUUGCCUUGCUCGUACUGGUCUGGCCUACGGACCCUGCUCGUGCUGUUGUCAACUGGCCAAGGCAUCGCAUGCGAUGUCUAGCCUGGGGGCUGCAGCGCGGGUUGGUGUCCCCGGAUCGCCUCUCGGUGUAGAAGCUGGUCAUCUCUCCGACCCGUCUUGAAACACGGACCAAGGAGUUUAGCGUAUGCGCGAGUCAUUGGGUGUUAAAACCCACAGGCGCAAUGAAAGUGAAGGCUCGGUCGCCGGGCUGACAUGCGAGUGCCGCGGCUUCGGCCCAGGCAUGCAGCAUGGUCCCAUUGCAAUCGUUUACGAUGCAGUGGAGACAGAGCGUAUGCGCUGAGACCCGAAAGAUGGUGAACUAUUCCUGAGCAGGACGAAGCCAGAGGAAACUCUGGUGGAAGUCCGAAGCGAUUCUGACGUGCAAAUCGAUCGUCUGACUUGGGUAUAGGGGC